UCUGCUCCCCUCAGGAGCAAAGGCAAAUUCAUAACUGGCCAACAAAGCACCUUUGAAACGCAGCUGCACACCAGAAACACACUGCCUUUCUCCACCGAGACAACCCUGGCUUGACCAGAGAAAGAAAGGGAGGAGGAAAAAAAGGCCACAGUGCUGAGAAAGGAGGGGAAAGGAAGAGGGGCGGGCGGGCCAGGCCGCGGCCGGGUAGAGGGGAAGUUCGCCAGUGGCUCUCGGCCCAGUUGAACAUAAGCUUCACCUAGUAUAAUGCAACCUUCUUUGACUCCCCAUGAAUGGCCAUACAGACGCUCCGAGAGAGACUGCAACUACGCAGCUGUUGGCCCACAGGGCCAGGAAGGAAGAAGGCAGAUGGGUGGCGGACAAGACUGUCAGAUGAGAUGACGGAGGUUGCAGAGAGCUGGUGAAGAUGGAUUCGAUGAUGGAGAUAGAAAGCAACUGAAUUAACUGCUGUUCUGGAUGCCCGGAUACUAACCACGUGCUGUUAAGGAAUCAGGAAGUUCCGUGGCUACUUAUAACAAAGUCCCUGUGGGCCUAUUAUGAAAUCUCAAUCAACUGCCAUCCAAGAAAAUAAAAUACAGAAAAAUUCUAUAAUGCCAUGCAGAUGAGACCACGCGGGAAGCAGAUAUUUCAUUCUUUGAGAACUGGUACAAUGCCUUUUGAGGGCCUUUGGCAAUCAAUGCAGGUCAAAGGUCAUAAAAAUGCUUGUACUCUUUGACCCCGUAAUCCCAUUCUUUGAGAUUUAUUUCAAGGAAGUCACUGAAAAGAAGAAAUGGUGUAUGUAUUGAUAUAUUUAUAGCCGUGUUAUUUAUGAGCAUGAAAAACUCAGAGUAACUGACAGUUUAGCAUGGGCAAUGGAUAAACACAGCUAGGAAUGGAACAAGUUAGGUGUAAUGGAACAUGAUUUCUUUAUUUAAAAAAAAAUAUCGGUAAGGAAGUAGGACCAUGGGAAGAAGUUCUGAUAUAGCUACAGAAUUGCUGAAAUGAUACUGAAAUGUGACACAGGUGUAGAAAAAUCCAAGGGGAAUAUAAAGAAAGAAAACACAAUUAUUACAUAAUAUACAAUAGAAAUAGACACGAUGGUGGGAUUGCUGUGAAAUAUUAUAUGCCUAAGCCUCAACGAUCAAUAACUUUUUAAAUCACAGUUCUUUAACAAGAAAGAAAUGGAAAAAAAGAAAUAUAGGCAAAAUUUGUUUACGUUGAAUAUGCUCUUUUUUUCCCUGUGCUCUAACUUUUGUUCAGCAACAAAAAUCACUGACCGAAAAUUAGAACUCACUCAUCUGCUUAUCUUCCUCUUCCUCCUCUGUGGUGGGUCUUAUAUUAUUCACCAAAAAAGCUGUAUUCAAGUAAGAUUGCAUUAUAAC
This is a long non-coding RNA of Sorex araneus (European shrew), 1379 nucleotides long. RefSeq lists it as uncharacterized. The record is from RefSeq and is a predicted model, not a curated record. The transcript has 3 exons. NCBI's taxonomy places the organism in Eukaryota, Metazoa, Chordata, Mammalia, Eulipotyphla, Soricidae.